GACGAACGCUGGCGGCGUGCCUAAUACAUGCAAGUUGAGCGCUGAAGGUUGGUACUUGUACCGACUGGAUGAGCAGCGAACGGGUGAGUAACGCGUGGGGAAUCUGCCUUUGAGCGGGGGACAACAUUUGGAAACGAAUGCUAAUACCGCAUAAAAACUUUAAACACAAGUUUUAAGUUUGAAAGAUGCAAUUGCAUCACUCAAAGAUGAUCCCGCGUUGUAUUAGCUAGUUGGUGAGGUAAAGGCUCACCAAGGCGAUGAUACAUAGCCGACCUGAGAGGGUGAUCGGCCACAUUGGGACUGAGACACGGCCCAAACUCCUACGGGAGGCAGCAGUAGGGAAUCUUCGGCAAUGGACGAAAGUCCGACCGAGCAACGCCGCGUGAGUGAAGAAGGUUUUCGGAUCGUAAAACUCUGUUGGUAGAGAAGAACGUUGGUGAGAGUGGAAAGCUCAUCAAGUGACGGUAACUACCCAGAAAGGGACGGCUAACUACGUG
RNAcentral lists this ribosomal RNA (497 nucleotides) under uncultured bacterium. RNAcentral's name for it is "partial 16S ribosomal RNA". It matches the Rfam family "Bacterial small subunit ribosomal RNA", at positions 28 to 507 of the family's 1533-position model. The record is from RNAcentral.